This 395-nucleotide unclassified non-coding RNA is filed under the name soil metagenome. Its description in RNAcentral is "partial contains 5.8S ribosomal RNA, internal transcribed spacer 2, and large subunit ribosomal RNA". The stretch from base 1 to 122 matches the Rfam family "5.8S ribosomal RNA", at positions 35 to 154 of the family's 154-position model. The record is from RNAcentral.
GAUGAAGAACGUAGCGAAAUGCGAUACUUGGUGUGAAUUGCAGAAUCCCGUGAACCAUCGAGUCUUUGAACGCAAGUUGCGCCCGAAGCCAUCAGGUUGAGGGCACGUCUGCCUAGGCGUCACAUAUCGUUGCCCAAUGCCUAUUGCAGUGCAAUAGGAAUUUCUAGGGCGAAUGAUGGCUUCCCGUGAGCGUUGUUGCCUCGCGGUUGGUUGAAAAUCGAGUCCUUGGUAGGGUGUGCCAUGGUGGAUGGUGGUCGAGUUAGAACGAUACCGAUCAUGUGCAUGCUCCCCAAAAUAUGGCCUCUAUGACCCACACGCGUCUUUUGACGCUCAUGACGAGACCUCAGGUCAGGCGGGGCUACCCGCUGAAUUUAAGCAUAUCGAUAAGCGGAGGA